UUUUCUUAAUGAUCAAAUAAUAUAAAAAUAAAUAAGGACUUAAGCCCACAAAUGAAAGUACAAGAUACAACAAGCACCAGAAGUGCCAAGCUUACAUGGCAGCAAAAGACAAACAAACACACAAUAUAAAAUAAAACAAAAUAAACAACCACUACAGACAACCACAAUCAAAACAACCAAUAAAAAGAGAAACAAGAGAGCUACACUUCUACUCACACAGUGAUACACCACCCAACCAGAACCAAACUAGAUCUCGGACACCAGAACCAGAGAACCCAGACAAGAGUCACAAAGAAAUAUCAAUAAACCACAUAAUACCAUGGAGUCAUGGCGGAAAUCUCUAUCGUUAUUCAAUCAGACAUGUGAUAGGGUUAUGAAACCAAUUGGAGAAUGAUAGAGAGUUCAACUAAGUUUUUGAUGGAACCAAUUCCGUGUCAAAAAAAUACUUUUAUCAUUCAUCUCUUUCACAUUUAUUGAUGAACCGAUGAAAAUCUUAUCAUUACAAACAUACUAGAUAGUCCACACCACAACAUGCCAAAUCAUAAUAAACACAACUGUAAUUUUAGUCUUAGAACCUAAAGAGAAGAAAAAUAAAAGUAAAAUAAAAAUUAAGAUCCUUGGAAAGAGCUAGAUGCAUCCUCUAAUCACCUAAAAAUCCUAUUCCAGGCACUAAAAAUGAAGCUACAGGUCACAGACAAAUUGAAGACUAACUCUACAUGAUCCUGCCAAAAAGUAAAGGAUGUCAUCUCAUAAUCGAUAAUAAUAUUCCGCUUAAAUAGAUUUUUCUUAAAAAGUAAUCUAUCUCGCAAAAGUUACUUAAAAACCACGACCUUAGAGGGGAUCCAACUCUCCCAAAUCGCAUGAAGGUUUGGGAACACAUUCAUAUUAUAAGUGGAUAAGUAAGGUAUAGUUAGUUCAGAC
This 921-nucleotide long non-coding RNA is filed under the name Lathyrus oleraceus (garden pea). RNAcentral describes it as "Pisum sativum (pea) long non-coding RNA (PSAT_LNC016792)". Lineage: Eukaryota; Viridiplantae; Streptophyta; Magnoliopsida; Fabales; Fabaceae. The record is from RNAcentral.